CCUUCUUGCUGUCUCGAUCCGCAUAAGAUCACAAGCAAACUCAACUCUAAUAUGUCGAGUUUUUGUUUUUUCUUUACUUUUUUUUCCUGGUAAUUUAAUUUCAUUGGAUCCUCAUAAAUUAUAAUAUUCUGCAAAAAGUGACCAUAAAUCUUUAAUGCUAUUAUGCUUACUUUGUGAGAGAACUUUAUUUCACUGUUUCAAAAAUCAAAGUCUUAGGAUUUUUCAACUAUGAUGAGACCACUAGGAGCUUAUUUAGGACAAGACAUGUUUCAGUGCUAAUUCGAUCUAGAAUCAGAUCUAUCCUUAGUUUUAGAGAAACGACACUAUCAUUUUGAUAAAUGUAUGAUUAUCCUACAAAGAUGGGAACUAUUGUCUCAUAAUCAUCUAUAAUUCCAUUAUGAAGAAAUGUACAAAGAAUACCAGUACAUCUUUAGACUGAAGAUUCAAUAAAAUGCAUUGGUGAUUAUAUAGAAUCUUUGAGACGUCGAUCAUUACACCCUUACAGAAAGGAUGAGAGGCCAUGUUAACGUAGAUUUUCCUUGAUCAGGUCGACGAUUAUUGAAUACCCAAAUGACGAUAACGUAAUUGCAAGGCUAGUUUAUAAGAGAUUAGAGAAUCAUUUCUCCAAAUGUUUUUGGUUAGAUCAUGAUCAAAACAAUUGCGCGCAAUCUCUGAAGAUAAUUCAAGCAGUGACUACUGGCACUCAUAUAAGUGAAGCGACCUAACAUUGCAUGGAUGAGAAACUACAUGUGUAGCAUCCCUGAUCCUUGCUAAGGAUCGUUUGGACGGGCCAUGGGACGAGAGAACGUGAAAGCCGGUCGUAAGACUGAAGGGCAAGUGUUCCAUGGUCUGACCAAAGGGUUAAGUCCGAAUAAUGAUCUGGACUUAGCCAGGAAAAGGAAGAAAAAAUGAAGAAAAUGAGCUGGACCGAGCAAAGGAAGAGUGGAACAAGCUGGGAGAGCUGGAGAACUAGUCAAGAUGUAAGCUGGACGAGCUCACUUAAGAUAGAUCAGCUCGAUCAGCUAGUAGUCUGAGCUCAACCAGCUGGACCAACUCUCGGGAGCUCAACUCAGCUGGGUGGAGUGUUCGGCGGUUGGGCCGGUUGGACGGGUUCGGGGUGGUUACGAGUAGUUGGUUGGAUCAGGUGCGGAGUUGGACUGGUCCGACUAAGCCUUGCGCGUGUGGGAAACGUGCCAAGCAGUUGGAGUCAGUUUUUGGCCGAAAGGGCACUUAUGGAUAACCGCCCCAGCGGUUGCAAAAUACACUCUUUCGCCCCAUAACCGUUCCUGGCAAAAUUUCUAUAAAUAUGGGGACUUGGGGUCGAUUUUGGACACCGAAUUUCUCUAAGGAAAGAACCAAAACUCGAUCAGAACCAAAGGCAUCCGAAAGAGAGAGACUUGGGCAAUUUGAAGAGAAGACUUGAUCGGAAUCAAGUCCAAAAGGCAAUCCGACCACGAUUACUGGAAGAACAAUCCAAACAUGGUGGAUCUAAGGGAAAAAUACAAGCAUGCUGCGACUGGAACUCUGGAGCGCACGUCUAAGGUAUGGACUGGAUAAGCCAUUGCCAUGGCCUUCGGGUGGAUCCGAACGGGGCUAUGGCUGAUCGUCCUAAAUUGGUUUCAUCCCUUUAAUCUUUACUUGAUCGUUUCUUCAUCCUAUUGUAUGAACGAUCAAGUGUCUUGGUCUUAGGACCGGAUAAUUGAUCAUGCCUUAGAGCCGGUCUGAUCAUGUGAUCCAGUGUUGGAUUUGAUAGAUCAAAGAUCAUAUCCAGAUGGCUUGAUCGGGUUAUGGCCGAUCCGAGUGGUUCAGUUGUAAGACGGCUUGAUUAAGACCGCAGACUGAACUUGAACAUUCCGGCCAAAUGACUGAAUAAGUCGAGUUUGAUUAAGGGGAUCAUAUGUGUUAGACUUAGAAAGAAACCAGACAUAUGAUGCAUGUAUAGAAACCACUCGCUAAGUUACCAAUGAAAUACUUAUGUUUUGUUGGUUUCAGGGUAAGAUGGUGAUCAUGGGAAGGAUCUGGCUUAGCCGUGAAUACUCGAAGCCAAGUACGGAUGGGUGGUUUGAUAGACUGGUUUAAGACCGUUAUACAUUGUACUAGCAUAUAUGCAAACUCUCGUUGUAAACGAAUCCUUUAUCACAUAAAUAAAGAAAUCAGUUUAUCCUAUUGCAUAUUGACUCUAAUACAUCUGCAUAUAGACUCUAAAAUGAAUCACAUAAUUGACCGAACUGGAUGUGUUUAAAACUAAGGACUUAAAACUGACUGGUCGGCCUGCUUAAAUCCUGGUCAAACCUAGAAACCUCACUGGAUCAAGUGUCCGGGUUAGGGCGCUUUAACAUGAGCCACCAUGUUUGACCCUUUCUGCUUCACAACAUAAAAACAUAGAGAUAACUUCUCUAAAUCUUAGAGGAAUCACACACAACAAAACAUAUGACAUGAAACGUGUUUGGAGAAAACAAAUCCUAUGGAGAAAGACACAAUCCAUCGACUAAUCAGAGUGGAGAUGAACAAAGAAAAUAUGAUACAAAAAUUACCAAGACCACUCUCACUACUCCACUUCAUCUAGAACUCCAACAGAGUUCAAUUUUUGCUCCUCAUACCACCAAGAAUAGAAUAUAGGUUCUCAACCCUUAAAACAUAUUUCUCAAUUUUCACUUCAAAGAUCUUCAGUUCGACAACCUCGCUCCUACUACAGAGCAAUUCCAAAAUUAAAAAUGAGAUGGAAAAACCAAAGAAUCAACCUCUUCCAAGGCUAUAUAGAGUAUUUUUCAAAAGAAUUCCCCUUCAAAACCUUGAAACUUAUAUACCUCGGGAGACUCUAGAAAAAGAAAAGGGUGAGUGAAUUACACGAGCUGCGUAUACUGUUAUGAUUUAAUACACCAGAUGUGUAAACUACUCGGAGAGCACUGCAUGUAAAUAAUGAUUCUACAUGGUUGAGGAACAAGGAAAAUUGGAGGAAAGUGCUGUCCAUAUUGUUUGCGCAACUCUGUCCAAUCUCCCACCUCUACCACCACUUGUUGUGGAAGUGCAUGUUCAUGAUUGAGUUCCAACAACCCCCAGACUAGGUCCCUCAUCUUUGGCUAUUGAUCAUCCAGUAAUUGGGACAACCUCACUAGAAUCUAAACACAAACCAGGAUGCCACCAGGUAAAACAAAUGUUCAAGCAAGCCUAGGUUCUCGCGGGAUCCAACUCCUAAAAGAAGAAAUUCCAACAAACUAAUGAUCCCCUUGUAGGAAAUAACUUAUCACACCGUGAAAACAAAGGAUCCCGCCCAGAAACAAAACCCCACAUGACUUGGUAUUACAUGCAAAUAUGAAUCAAACAUCUGAAAACCGACCAAUUAAUGAUCUAUUUUUAGGGAGUAGGCUGAAGAAGGCAGUUUCUUGAACCCCUUAUGAUGCAGAUCCUUAGUGAAAACGAGCUGUAACUGUCUUGACUUGGGAAUCCUCUGACCUGUUCAUCUUUUACGAGAGAUGAAUUAACAAAGCUCCACAGAUAUACUUUUCUCAAUGGAAAUGAAAUCCUCCAUUGCUGUCGUCUUUGCAGAAACUCAAAUCCUUGGAAUAUGAUGCUCAUCAUCAUCUCGUACUUCUAGUCACCCAUGGUGCCGGAGGUCUGGCUCUACUAUGGAGAAAAGAUUUAUCACUUGAUGUUCUCUUCAAGUGCAAACUGUAUUGAUACUCUAAUAGGAUUUGAAAGAAAUUACUUUUAUGCUUCAUAUAUGUACGAAAUACUGACAAAGCUAAAAGAAAGCCUUAAUGGAAUCAUCUUAUAGCAUUGACAAGUGCUCGAGAGACACCUUGGUUUAUGAUAUUGUAUGUUACUUUAACGAUAUACUACAUAUCUGAAGAAAAAAACCUAGGAGACCCUUCUUGACCAGAGGUCUCCUUCAGUGACUUCCAGUUAUUGUUAUAAGAGGAAGACUUAUUCGAUUUGCAGCACUCAUAAGAUAUGCAUGUUGUAAGAGACAAAUGGUAAGUUAUUUUGUUUGAUGCUGACUCGACAAUGCUUUAGCUAACACUCUUUGGGAUGAGAUCUUCCCAACUGCAAGACGCCAUUAUCUUGCGUAUGAGGAUUCAGAACAUAAACUAAUGGCUCAUAUUUUUAACCAAACCUAAAGAAAGUAAAACGAUUAUUUCGCUAUGAUAGAUAACUGAAGAAUAAUUAGGAAGUAAAAUUACUAUUCAAGAAACUUGGAAGAAUGCAGUAACUAAGACUGUGUGCUAUAAAUAUAAUCAAUCAGAUUUGCGUUAACAGAGUGACAUAAAAACCAAGGUCAUAAUAACAUACUUGUCAUUGAACUUAAUUAGUGGGAGUUAGAAGAGUCACUGUCCGAGGAACUGAAUGGUAAUUUAUAACAACGAAGAUCUCAUAGGCGUAUAAUGAUGAAGAAGCUUACGGAAAGCAGAUGAGCCGUCUCCUAUAGUUGAG
Long non-coding RNA from Brassica rapa (field mustard), 4431 nucleotides. RefSeq lists it as uncharacterized. Lineage: Eukaryota; Viridiplantae; Streptophyta; Magnoliopsida; Brassicales; Brassicaceae. The record is from RefSeq and is a predicted model, not a curated record.